GCACCACUGACGAGUCCCAAACAGGACGAAACAACUGUCCCGUGC
Molecule: non-coding RNA, 45 nt
Filed under: Echinostoma caproni
Lineage: Eukaryota; Metazoa; Platyhelminthes; Trematoda; Plagiorchiida; Echinostomatidae
Source: RNAcentral